CCUACGGGUGGCAGCAGUGGGGGAUAUUGCACAAUGGGGGGAACCCUGAUGCAGCGACGCCGCGUGGGUGAAGGAGCGUUUCGGCGCGUAAAGCUCUAUCGGCAGGGAAGUAGAUGACGGUACCUGGCCAAGAAGCCCCGGCUAACUACGUGCCAGCAGCCGCGGGAAUACGGAGGGGGCAAGCGUUAUCCGGAUUUACGGGGUGUAAAGGGGGCGCAGGCGGGAAUGCAAGCCAGCGGGGAAAGACCGGGGCCCAACACCGGGACUGCACUUGGAACUGCAUGGCUGGAGAACAGGAGGGGCAGGCGGAAUGCCUAGUGUAGCGGUGAAAUGCGUAGAUAUUAGGAAGAACACCGGUGGCGAAGGCAGCCUGCUGGACUGUGACUGACGUUGAGGCCCGAAGGCGUGGGGAGCGAACAGGAUUAGAUACCCUGGUAGUC
This 440-nucleotide ribosomal RNA is filed under the name uncultured bacterium. Its description in RNAcentral is "partial 16S ribosomal RNA". It matches the Rfam family "Bacterial small subunit ribosomal RNA", at positions 338 to 795 of the family's 1533-position model. The record is from RNAcentral.